UACAGAGGUCUCAAGCGUUGUUCGGAUUCAUUGGGCGUAAAGGGUGCGUAGGCGGCGCGGUAAGUCGGGUGUGAAAUCUCGGAGCUUAACUCCGAAACUGCAUUCGAUACUGCCGUGCUUGAGGACUGGAGAGGAGACUGGAAUUUACGGUGUAGCGGUGAAAUGCGUAGAUAUCGUAAGGAAGACCAGUGGCGAAGGCGGGUCUCUGGACAGUUCCUGACGCUGAGGCACGGAGGCCGGGGAGCAAACGGG
RNAcentral lists this ribosomal RNA (252 nucleotides) under uncultured bacterium. RNAcentral describes it as "partial 16S ribosomal RNA". It matches the Rfam family "Bacterial small subunit ribosomal RNA", at positions 524 to 776 of the family's 1533-position model. The record is from RNAcentral.